Molecule: small nuclear RNA, 188 nt
Organism: Zingiber officinale
Lineage: Eukaryota; Viridiplantae; Streptophyta; Magnoliopsida; Zingiberales; Zingiberaceae
Product: U2 spliceosomal RNA
Exons: 1
Source: RefSeq, a predicted model, not a curated record
AUACCUUUCUUAGAUUUUAGCUAAGAUCAAAUGCAAUAUCUGUUAUUAUCUAUUAUUAUCAGUUUAAUAUAUGAUAUAAAUAAUUAAAUUAAUUUUUUAUAAGAGAGAGUUUAUUAUAGCAAUUUGUUACUGGGGUUCUCAAGUGUCGCCCUUACGUUUCACUACUGCAUGACCUUAGCGUACCCUAA